AGUUGGAAACGACUGCUAAUACCGCAUAAGCCCACGGGUCGGCAUCGACCAGAGGGAAAAGGAGCAAUCCGCUUUGAGAUGGCCUCGCGUCCGAUUAGCUAGUUGGUGAGGUAAUGGCCCACCAAGGCGACGAUCGGUAGCCGGACUGAGAGGUUGAACGGCCACAUUGGGACUGAGACACGGCCCAGACUCCUACGGGAGGCAGCAGUGGGGAAUAUUGCACAAUGGGGGAAACCCUGAUGCAGCGACGCCGCGUGGAGGAAGAAGGUCUUCGGAUUGUAAACUCCUGUUGUUGGGGAAGAUAAUGACGGUACCCAACAAGGAAGUGACGGCU
Molecule: ribosomal RNA, 334 nt
Filed under: uncultured bacterium
Lineage: Bacteria
Description: bacterial SSU rRNA
Rfam family: Bacterial small subunit ribosomal RNA
Source: RNAcentral